GACGAACGCUGGCGGCGUGCUUAACACAUGCAAGUCGAGCGGUAAGGCCCUUUCGGGGGUACACGAGCGGCGAACGGGUGAGUAACACGUGGGUGACCUGCCCUUAGCUCUGGGAUAAGCCUGGGAAACUGGGUCUAAUACCGGAUAUGACUCCAUGACGCAUGUUGUGGGGUGGAAAGCCUUGUGCGGCUAGGGAUGGGCCCGCGGCCUAUCAGCUUGUUGGUGGGGUGAUGGCCUACCAAGGCGACGACGGGUAGCCGGCCUGAGAGGGCGACCGGCCACACUGGGACUGAGACACGGCCCAGACUCCUACGGGAGGCAGCAGUGGGGAAUCUUGGACAAUGGAGGAAACUCUGAUCCAGCCAUGCCGCGUGAGUGAUGAAGGCC
RNAcentral lists this ribosomal RNA (387 nucleotides) under uncultured bacterium. RNAcentral's name for it is "bacterial SSU rRNA". It matches the Rfam family "Bacterial small subunit ribosomal RNA", at positions 28 to 416 of the family's 1533-position model. The record is from RNAcentral.